This 2269-nucleotide ribosomal RNA is filed under the name human gut metagenome. Its description in RNAcentral is "bacterial LSU rRNA". It matches the Rfam family "Bacterial large subunit ribosomal RNA", at positions 14 to 2317 of the family's 2925-position model. The record is from RNAcentral.
AGGGCGCAGGGUGGAUGCCUUGGCACUAAGAGCCGAUGAAAGACGUGAUAAGCUGCGAAAAGCUUCGGGGAGGAGCACAUAUCCAAUGAUCCGGAGAUAUCUGAAUGGGGAAACCCGGCAGAGGAAACCUCUGUCAGCGUGCAGUGAAUACAUAGCUGUACGUGGGGAACCCGGGGAACUGAAACAUCUAAGUACCCGGAGGAAGAGAAAGAAAAUUUAUCGAUUUCCAAAGUAGCGGCGAGCGAAAUGGAAAGAGCCCAAACCGUGAUGCGUGCAUCGCGGGGUUCGGACUGCGUUGUGGCAGACGUAAGAUAGGAGAACGGACUGGGAAGUCCGGCCGGAGAGAGUGAAAGCCUCGUAUCCGAAAUCCCAAGUCGCCUAGCAGGAUCCAGAGUAGGACGAGACACGAGAAACCUUGUCUGAACGAGCGGGGACCACCCCGUAAGGCUAAAUACUUCUUAGUGACCGAUAGCGCAUAGUACUGUGAAGGAAAGGUGAAAAGUACCCCGGGAGGGGAGUGAAAGAGAACCUGAAACCCUGUGUCUACAAGCUGUGGGACCUCUUUAUAUGAGGGACUGCGUACUUUUUGUAGAACGGUCCGGCGAGUUGUGCGUACUGGCGAGGUUAAGGACUUAAGGUCUGGAGCCGAAGUGAAAGCAAGCGUUAAUAGCGCGUCAAGUCAGUGAGUGCAGACCCGAAACCGGGUGACCUAUCCAUGUCCAGGUUGAAGCUUCCGUAAGAGGAAGUGGAGGACCGAACCCACAUCCGUUGAAAAGGGUGGGGAUGAGGUGUGGAUAGGGGAGAAAUUCCAAUCGAACCCGGAGAUAGCUGGUUCUCCUCGAAAUAGCUUUAGGGCUAGCCUCAUGAGAGUCUUAUGGAGGUAGAGCACUGAAUUGCCUAGGGGGCGUCAAAGCUUACCAAAGCAUAUCAAACUCCGAAUGCCAUCAAGAUGAUUCAUGGGAGUCAGACCAUACGAGAUAAGUUGGAUGGUCAAAAGGGAAAGAGCCCAGACCUACAGCUAAGGUCCCAAAGUACGUGUUAAGUGGAAAAGGAUGUGGGGAUUCUAAGACAACUAGGACGUUGGCUUAGAAGCAGCCAUUCAUUGAAAGAGUGCGUAAUAGCUCACUAGUCGAGAGUCCCUGCGCCGAAAAUGUCCGGGGCUGAAACACGACACCGAAGCUUAGGAAUGUGUAAACAUUGGUAGAGGAGCAUUGCUAGCGGGAUGAAGCCAUACCGUAAGGAGUGGUGGACUGCUAGGAAGAGAGAAUGCCGGAAUGAGUAGCGAGAUGAAGGUGAGAAUCCUUCAGGCCGAAUAUCUAAGGUUUCCAGAGUAAAGCUGAUCUGCUCUGGGUAAGUCGGGACCUAAGGCGAGGUCGAAAGACGUAGUCGAUGGAUAACAGGUUGAAAUUCCUGUACCGCAUAUAAACAGAACUGUGGGGACACAGACAGGGAAUGGAAUCCGGGAGUGGAGAUCCCGGUGCAAGCGAGGUAGGAGUGCUGUUGGCAAAUCCGCAGCACGAUCUGAAGACGUGACGCGUACCGAACAUAAGUAGGGAAGUCCAGGCCCCUGGCUGUCAAGAAAAGCCGCUAUCGUUUUAUAUGUGCCCGUACCGCAAACCGACACAGGUGGAUGAGGAGAGAAUCCUAAGGCCGACGGGAGAAGUAUUGUUAAGGAACUCGGCAAAAUGACUCCGUAACUUCGGGAGAAGGAGUGCCAUGUAAAAGUGGCCGCAGAGAAUUGGCCCAAGCAACUGUUUAGCAAAAACACAGGUCUAUGCAAAACCGAAAGGUGAGGUAUAUGGGCUGACGCCUGCCCGGUGCUGGAAGGUUAAGGGGAGAGGUUAGCGCAAGCGAAGCUUUGAACUUAAGCCCCAGUAAACGGCGGCCGUAACUAUAACGGUCCUAAGGUAGCGAAAUUCCUUGUCGGGUAAGUUCCGACCCGCACGAAAGGCGUAAUGAUUUGGGCACUGUCUCAACAAUGCACCCGGUGAAAUUGAAAUACCAGUGAAGAUGCUGGUUACCUGCGCCAGGACGGAAAGACCCCAUGGAGCUUUACUCCAGUUUGAUACUGGGAUUCGGCAUGGUAUGUACAGGAUAGGUGGGAGACUGAGAAGGUAUGACGUCAGUUGUACCGGAGUCGCUGUUGGGAUACCACCCUUACCAUGUUGGAUUUCUAACCUGUGGCCGUAAGCCGGUCAGGGGACAAUGUCAGGCGGGGAGUUUGACUGGGGCGGUCGCCUCCGAAAGGGUAUCGGAGGCGCUCAAAGGU